GCUAUUUUGGCAGAUAAUAUGCAUUAGAUYUAGGAUUUAAUUAUAUAGUAGAGUCUAUAAAUAGUAAAGUAAUUUUUUAAAGCUAAUUAUUUU
Molecule: transfer RNA, 93 nt
Filed under: Potamon persicum
Lineage: Eukaryota; Metazoa; Arthropoda; Malacostraca; Decapoda; Potamidae
Description: tRNA-Leu
Source: RNAcentral